ACGAACGCUGGCGGCGUGCCUAACACAUGCAAGUCGAGCGGAGGUAGUUUGAUGGUAACUGAUAACUACUUUAGCGGCGGACGGGUGAGUAACACGUUGGCAACCUGCCUCGAAGUGGGGGAUAACACCGAGAAAUCGGUGCUAAUACCGCAUAACAUACAGACAUCACCUGAUGACUGUAUCAAAGGAGAAAUCCGCUUUGAGAUGGGCCCGCGGCUGAUUAGCUAGUUGGUGAGGUAAUGGCUCACCAAGGCGACGAGCAGUAGCCGACCUGAGAGGGUGACCGGCCACACUGGAACUGAGACACGGUCCAGACUCCUACGGGAGGCAGCAGUGGGGAAUAUUGCGCAAUGGGGGAAACCCUGACGCAGCAACGCCGCGUGGAGGAAGAAGGUCUUCGGAUUGGAAACUCCUGUCGUCUGGGACGAUAAUGACGGUACCAGAGGAGGAAGCCACGGCUAACUACGU
This 468-nucleotide ribosomal RNA is filed under the name uncultured bacterium. RNAcentral describes it as "bacterial SSU rRNA". It matches the Rfam family "Bacterial small subunit ribosomal RNA", at positions 29 to 506 of the family's 1533-position model. The record is from RNAcentral.